This 213-nucleotide long non-coding RNA is filed under the name Mytilus galloprovincialis (Mediterranean mussel). Lineage: Eukaryota; Metazoa; Mollusca; Bivalvia; Mytilida; Mytilidae. The record is from RNAcentral.
CAGAUUUCAUAAAUAAAAAGAAAAUUUCUUCAAACAUUUUUUUGAGAGGAUUAAUAUUCAACAGCAUAGUGAAUUGCUCAAAUGCAAAAAAAAUUUUAAGUUCAUUAGACCACAUUCAUUCUGUGUCAGAAAACCUAUGCUGUGUCAACUUUUAUCACAAUCCAAAUUUAGAGCUGAAUCCAGCUUGAAUGUUGUGUCAUACUUGCCCCAACC